CUUGAAUGUAGGUAAGAUGGGUUGUUUCAUAUGCAUGGGUGGCACAAUUAUCUUGCAUGCUAAUUAGGCUUUGGCGUGCUCUGAGAUGUCUGAAGAAAUUUCAAGCAGCAUGCAGAUGUAACUAUAAAGGCUUAAAAGAUCAACAAAAACUGCUACAUUGGGAUAUCAGCUAUAUGCAAUAGAAGGCAGACCAUCAGAAGGAUUAUAUGUUGGAUUAAUUAGUAUAUCAUAUUUAGAAGCAAGAUUGUGUAAGAUGUGUACUCUUCAGAUAAUGUCUAUGUAUCUCAAGAAGAUUCCAUUAAUAAAAAUGUUUUUUUGUU
Lolium perenne is the source of this 320-nucleotide non-coding RNA. The record is from RefSeq and is a predicted model, not a curated record. NCBI's taxonomy places the organism in Eukaryota, Viridiplantae, Streptophyta, Magnoliopsida, Poales, Poaceae.